CCUACGGGUGGCAGCAGUGGGGAAUAUUGCACAAUGGGGGAAACCCUGAUGCAGCGACGCCGCGUGAGUGAAGAAGUAUUUCGGUAUGUAAAGCUCUAUCAGCAGGGAAGAAAAUGACGGUAACUGAGUAAGAAGCACCGGCUAACUACGAGCCAGCAGCCGCGGGAAGACGUAGGGGGCAAGGGUUAUCCGGAUUUACUGGGUGUAAAGGGAGCGUAGACGGCCGCACAAGUCUGGAGUGAAAUGCCGGGGCUUAACCCCGGAACUGCUUUGGAAACUGUGCAGCUUGAGUGCAGGAGAGGUAAGUGGACUUCCUAGUGUAGCGGUGAAAUGCGUAGAUAUUAGGAGGAACACCAGUGGCGAAGGCGGCUUACUGGACUGUACCUGACGUUGAGGCUCGACAGCGUGGGGAGCAAACAGGAUUAGAUACCCCUGUAGUC
RNAcentral lists this ribosomal RNA (440 nucleotides) under uncultured bacterium. RNAcentral describes it as "partial 16S ribosomal RNA". It matches the Rfam family "Bacterial small subunit ribosomal RNA", at positions 338 to 795 of the family's 1533-position model. The record is from RNAcentral.